GAUGAACGCUGGCGGCGUGCCUAACACAUGCAAGUCGAACGGUUAAGGCGGCUUCGGCCGCGGAUAAAGUGGCGAACGGGUGAGUAACGCGUGACCGACCUUCCCCCCGCACCGGGACAACCGCGGGAAACCGCGGCUGAUACCGGGUACUCCGGGGCCCCCGCAUGGGGGCCCCGGGAAAGCUCCGGCGGCGGGGGAUGGGGUCGCGUCCCAUCAGGUAGUAGGCGGGGCAACGGCCCACCUAGCCGACGACGGGUAGCCGGGUUGAGAGACCGACCGGCCACAUUGGGACUGAGAUACGGCCCAGACUCCUACGGGAGGCAGCAGUGGGGAAUUUUGCGCAAUGGGGGCAACCCUGACGCAGCAACGCCGCGUGCGGGACGACGGCCUUCGGGUUGUAAACCGCUUUCAGCAGGGAAGAACCUCUGACGGUA
This 434-nucleotide ribosomal RNA is filed under the name uncultured bacterium. Its description in RNAcentral is "bacterial SSU rRNA". It matches the Rfam family "Bacterial small subunit ribosomal RNA", at positions 28 to 477 of the family's 1533-position model. The record is from RNAcentral.